GUGCUUGCUUCAGCAGCACAUAUACUAAAAUUAGAACGAUACAGAGAUUAGCGUGGCCCCUGUGCAAGGAUGAAAUUAAAGUAGUCAGAGGCUAGAGAGAACAAUUUAU
This is a small nuclear RNA of Macaca fascicularis (crab-eating macaque), 109 nucleotides long. NCBI's taxonomy places the organism in Eukaryota, Metazoa, Chordata, Mammalia, Primates, Cercopithecidae. The record is from Ensembl.